AGUACGAUCGCAAGAUUAAAACUCAAAGGAAUGGACGGGGCCCCGCACAAGCAGCGGAGCAUGCGGCUUAAUUCGACGCAACGCGAAGAACCUUACCAAGGCUUGACAUAUACAGGAAUAUGGCAGAGAUGUCAUAGCCGCAAGGUCUGUAUACAGGUGGUGCAUGGUUGUCGUCAGCUCGUGUCGUGAGAUGUUGGGUUAAGUCCCGCAACGAGCGCAACCCUCGUUCUGUGUUGCCAGCAUUUAGUUGGGGACUCACAGGAGACUGCCGGGGUUAACUCGGAGGAAGGUGGGGAUGACGUCAAAUCACCAUGCCCCUUAUGUCUUGGGCUGCACGCAUGCUACAAUGGCUGGUACAAACGGCUGCGAUACCGCAAGGUGGAGCGAAUCCGAUAAAGCCAGUCUCAGUUCGGAUUGGGGUCUGCAACUCGACCCCAUGAAGUCGGAGUUGCUAGUAAUCGUAGAUCAGCAACGCUACGGUGAAUACGUUCCCGGGGCUUGUACACACCGCCCGUCACGUCACGAAAGUCGGUAACACCCGAAGUCAGUGGCCCAACCGCAAGGAGGGAGCUGCCGAAGGUGGGAUCAGUGAUUGGGACG
This 600-nucleotide ribosomal RNA is filed under the name uncultured bacterium. RNAcentral's name for it is "bacterial SSU rRNA". It matches the Rfam family "Bacterial small subunit ribosomal RNA", at positions 879 to 1482 of the family's 1533-position model. The record is from RNAcentral.